UACGUAGGGUGCAAGCGUUAAUCGGAAUUACUGGGCGUAAAGCGUGCGCAGGCGGUCUUGUAAGACAGGCGUGAAAUCCCCGGGCUCAACCUGGGAAUUGCGCUUGUGACUGCAAGGCUGGAGUGCGGCAGAGGGGGAUGGAAUUCCGCGUGUAGCAGUGAAAUGCGUAGAUAUGCGGAGGAACACCGAUGGCGAAGGCAAUCCCCUGGGCCUGCACUGACGCUCAUGCACGAAAGCGUGGGGAGCAAACAGG
Molecule: ribosomal RNA, 253 nt
Filed under: Hydrogenophaga sp.
Lineage: Bacteria; Pseudomonadati; Pseudomonadota; Betaproteobacteria; Burkholderiales; Comamonadaceae
Description: partial 16S ribosomal RNA
Rfam family: Bacterial small subunit ribosomal RNA
Source: RNAcentral